UGGGGGAUAUUGCACAAUGGGCGAAAGCCUGUUGCAGCGACGCCGCGUGGGGGAUGAAGGCCUUCGGGUUGUAAACUUCUUUUGCUCUGAACAAGGCAUGCCUUUGGGGUGUGUUGAGUGUAGGGGUUGAUUAGCGCCGGCUAACUACGUGCCAGCAGCCGCGGUAAUACGUAGGGCGCGAGCGUUGUCCGGAAUUAUUGGGCGUAAAGGGCUUGUAGGUGGCUGGUUGCGUCUGUCGUGAAAGCUCAUGGCUUAACUGUGGGUUUGCGGUGGGUACGGGCUGGCUUGAGUGCAGUAGGGGAGGCUGGAAUUCCUGGUGUAGCGGUGGAAUGCGCAGAUAUCAGGAGGAAUACCGGUGGCGAAGGCGGGUCUCUGGGCUGUUACUGACGCUGAGGAGCGAAAGCGUGGGGAGCGAACAGG
This 420-nucleotide ribosomal RNA is filed under the name Fusobacteriota bacterium. RNAcentral describes it as "Fusobacteria bacterium partial 16S ribosomal RNA". It matches the Rfam family "Bacterial small subunit ribosomal RNA", at positions 355 to 776 of the family's 1533-position model. The record is from RNAcentral. Lineage: Bacteria; Fusobacteriati; Fusobacteriota.